UACAGAGGGUGCAAGCGUUAAUCGGAAUUACUGGGCGUAAAGCGUGCGUAGACGGUUGCGUAAGUCAGAUGUGAAAGCCCCGGGCUCAACCUGGGAAUUGCAUUUGAGACUGCGUAGCUAGGGUGCGGAAGAGGGAAGCGGAAUUUCCGGUGUAGCGGUGAAAUGCGUAGAUAUCAGGAAGAACACCAACGGCGAAGGCAGCUCGCUGGGACGGUACUGACGCUGAGACGCGAAAGCGUGGGGAGCGAACAGG
This 253-nucleotide ribosomal RNA is filed under the name uncultured bacterium. Its description in RNAcentral is "partial 16S ribosomal RNA". It matches the Rfam family "Bacterial small subunit ribosomal RNA", at positions 524 to 776 of the family's 1533-position model. The record is from RNAcentral.